ACGGCAGCACGGGAGCUUGCUCCUGGUGGCGAGUGGCGAACGGGUGAGUAAUAUAUCGGAACGUACCCUAGAGUGGGGGAUAACGCAGCGAAAGUUGCGCUAAUACCGCAUACGAUCUACGGAUGAAAGUGGGGGAUCGCAAGACCUCAUGCUCAUGGAGCGGCCGAUAUCUGAUUAGCUAGUUGGUAGGGUAAAAGCCUACCAAGGCUUCGAUCAGUAGCUGGUCUGAGAGGACGACCAGCCACACUGGAACUGAGACACGGUCCAGACUCCUACGGGAGGCAGCAGUGGGGAAUUUUGGACAAUGGGCGCAAGCCUGAUCCAGCAAUGCCGCGUGAGUGAAGAAGGCCUUCGGGUUGUAAAGCUCUUUUGUCAGGGAAGAAACGGUGGACUCUAAUACAGAUCACUAAUGACGGUACCUGAAGAAUAAGCACCGGCUAACUACGUGCCAGCAGCCGCGGUAAUACGUAGGGUGCAAGCGUUAAUCGGAAUUACUGGGCGUAAAGCGUGCGCAGGCGGUUUGGUAAGACAGAUGUGAAAUCCCUGGGCUCAACCUAGGAAUUGCAUUUGUGACUGCCCGACUAGAGUGUGUCAGAGGGGGGUAGAAUUCCACGUGUAGCAGUGAAAUGCGUAGAGAUGUGGAGGAAUACCGAUGGCGAAGGCAGCCCCCUGGGAUAACACUGACGCUCAUGCACGAAAGCGUGGGGAGCAAACAGGAUUAGAUACCCUGGUAGUCCACGCCCUAAACGAUGUCUACUAGUUGUUGGGUCUUAAUUGACUUAGUAACGCAGCUAACGCGUGA
Molecule: ribosomal RNA, 802 nt
Filed under: Herminiimonas sp. SOK35
Lineage: Bacteria; Pseudomonadati; Pseudomonadota; Betaproteobacteria; Burkholderiales; Oxalobacteraceae
Description: bacterial SSU rRNA
Rfam family: Bacterial small subunit ribosomal RNA
Source: RNAcentral